CUCUGUUUAUCUUUGGGACCUGCCAGCUACGGCAGCCUCCCUUCCUAGCCACAGAAGAGUGUUCUUAUUUCUGACAAAGUUGUCACUAUUUAAAUGGGUUAUGAUUCUGACAUCAAUAAGUAACAUUC
This is a small nucleolar RNA of Microtus ochrogaster (prairie vole), 128 nucleotides long. The record is from Ensembl. Lineage: Eukaryota; Metazoa; Chordata; Mammalia; Rodentia; Cricetidae.